AACAAUGUUUUUAAUUUAUUGACACCCAGAGUCACGGCACUACCUUUUCUUCUAUGGUUGUGACAAACAGGUCAAUCUGCCAAGUUUUCCUGUUAACGUGCUCGCGGUAGUCAUAGAAGAACUAUCUCUGUCUUUUCAGAGAUGAGCUGUAUGGGGCUCUCAUUUGU
RNAcentral lists this small nucleolar RNA (167 nucleotides) under Kluyveromyces lactis. Its description in RNAcentral is "Small nucleolar RNA snR11". It matches the Rfam family "Small nucleolar RNA snR11". Lineage: Eukaryota; Fungi; Ascomycota; Saccharomycetes; Saccharomycetales; Saccharomycetaceae. The record is from Rfam by way of RNAcentral.